AAUAGUCUAUGAAAGACAGCAUAAAACUUAAUUAAUAUCAUUAAUCAAGUUAUACAUCAUAUGAAACCAUUCUCUUAAGACUCAAAGUAUGACAUAACAUACUAUAACAUCAACAACAUCUUGCAGCGGAAAGUAGCCAGACAUAUGUAUGAAGACAUAUUCUAGACAGGUUAACUAUUUAUUAACAACCCUGGAAACUCCGCUCAUUGCAGCACCAUCAUCACAUCAGCUCAACCUGCACAUUUAGAAAACAUAUGCAGGGCUGAGUACAAAAGCACUCAGUGGGCACGUAUGCCUAGUAUAAAAAUACAUGCUUAAACUGUAAAUGUCAUGCCAUCAUAAAAGUACAGCAAGGGGUUUUUGCUAAAAAGGCCCAAGCUUACUAAAUUCAUUUGUGAUUCUUAAGUUCGCUGAUCAGCUAAGUUCUCUUGUAAUCUAUCAUAUCUGGAACUGUGUGCCGGAGAGGUGGCCACCUCUCACGGUCACUUGACCGGCCAACCCGCUAGAUGACUCACGGUCACUGGUGUACACUAGCCCUGGCAGGAUAGCUAUCAACUGCUCAGGACCCGAAUUCGAUUGCAUCAUUGGCAAAGCCAAAGCAGAUAGAUAUCAUACUAAAAUUGAAACAUUUUAUGGCAAGACAAUACUUGAAAUAACUUUAACUCAAAGAUUUUUCAUGAAAUAACUUGCUUGAACGUAACAUUUAAACUCAUUUUGAUAUAUAUGAAAGUAAUGCCACCUGGAUAGGCAAAGCCUGAAGAUCAUACACAUAUAACUUGUCUUGGGAAAAACAACGCUAAUCCCCUUGGUCCACAAAGCCUACAAGAAAUUCUAUUCUUAAUAGGUCUCCUUAAUCUUUUCUUAAGUCAUAGAGGACGUGCUAGACAUUCUUUGAUUCAUCAC
This 903-nucleotide long non-coding RNA is filed under the name Salvia miltiorrhiza (redroot sage). Its description in RNAcentral is "long non-coding RNA (SMIL_LNC000509)". Lineage: Eukaryota; Viridiplantae; Streptophyta; Magnoliopsida; Lamiales; Lamiaceae. The record is from RNAcentral.